UUAAGCGACUAAGCGUACACGGUGGAUGCCCUGGCAGUCAGAGGCGAUGAAGGACGUGCUAAUCUGCGAUAAGCGUCGGUGAGGUGAUAUGAACCGUUAUAACCGGCGAUUUCCGAAUGGGGAAACCCAGUGUGAUUCGACACACUAUCAUUAACUGAAUCCAUAGGUUAAUGAGGCGAACCGGGGGAACUGAAACAUCUAAGUACCCCGAGGAAAAGAAAUCAACCGAGAUUCCCCCAGUAGCGGCGAGCGAACGGGGAGGAGCCCAGAGCCUGAAUCAGUGUGUGUGUUAGUGGAAGCGUCUGGAAAGGCGCGCGAUACAGGGUGACAGCCCCGUACACAAAAAUGCACAUACUGUGAGCUCGAUGAGUAGGGCGGGACACGUGGUAUCCUGUCUGAAUAUGGGGGGACCAUCCUCCAAGGCUAAAUACUCCUGACUGACCGAUAGUGAACCAGUACCGUGAGGGAAAGGCGAAAAGAACCCCGGCGAGGGGAGUGAAAAAGAACCUGAAACCGUGUACGUACAAGCAGUGGGAGCCUCUUAAUGGGGUGACUGCGUACCUUUUGUAUAAUGGGUCAGCGACUUAUAUUCUGUAGCAAGGUUAACCGAAUAGGGGAGCCGAAGGGAAACCGAGUCUUAACUGGGCGUUAAGUUGCAGGGUAUAGACCCGAAACCCGGUGAUCUAGCCAUGGGCAGGUUGAAGGUUGGGUAACACUAACUGGAGGACCGAACCGACUAAUGUUGAAAAAUUAGCGGAUGACUUGUGGCUGGGGGUGAAAGGCCAAUCAAACCGGGAGAUAGCUGGUUCUCCCCGAAAGCUAUUUAGGUAGCGCCUCGUGAAUUCAUCUCCGGGGGUAGAGCACUGUUUCGGCAAGGGGGUCAUCCCGACUUACCAACCCGAUGCAAACUGCGAAUACCGGAGAAUGUUAUCACGGGAGACACACGGCGGGUGCUAACGUCCGUCGUGAAGAGGGAAACAACCCAGACCGCCAGCUAAGGUCCCAAAGUCAUGGUUAAGUGGGAAACGAUGUGGGAAGGCCCAGACAGCCAGGAUGUUGGCUUAGAAGCAGCCAUCAUUUAAAGAAAGCGUAAUAGCUCACUGGUCGAGUCGGCCUGCGCGGAAGAUGUAACGGGGCUAAACCAUGCACCGAAGCUGCGGCAGCGACACUAUGUGUUGUUGGGUAGGGGAGCGUUCUGUAAGCCUGUGAAGGUGUGCUGUGAGGCAUGCUGGAGGUAUCAGAAGUGCGAAUGCUGACAUAAGUAACGAUAAAGCGGGUGAAAAGCCCGCUCGCCGGAAGACCAAGGGUUCCUGUCCAACGUUAAUCGGGGCAGGGUGAGUCGACCCCUAAGGCGAGGCCGAAAGGCGUAGUCGAUGGGAAACAGGUUAAUAUUCCUGUACUUGGUGUUACUGCGAAGGGGGGACGGAGAAGGCUAUGUUGGCCGGGCGACGGUUGUCCCGGUUUAAGCGUGUAGGCUGGUUUUCCAGGCAAAUCCGGAAAACCAAGGCUGAGGCGUGAUGACGAGGCACUACGGUGCUGAAGCGACAAAUGCCCUGCUUCCAGGAAAAGCCUCUAAGCAUCAGGUAACAUCAAAUCGUACCCCAAACCGACACAGGUGGUCAGGUAGAGAAUACCAAGGCGCUUGAGAGAACUCGGGUGAAGGAACUAGGCAAAAUGGUGCCGUAACUUCGGGAGAAGGCACGCUGAUAUGUAGGUGAAGCGACUUGCUCGUGGAGCUGAAAUCAGUCGAAGAUACCAGCUGGCUGCAACUGUUUAUUAAAAACACAGCACUGUGCAAACACGAAAGUGGACGUAUACGGUGUGACGCCUGCCCGGUGCCGGAAGGUUAAUUGAUGGGGUUAGCGGCAACGCGAAGCUCUUGAUCGAAGCCCCGGUAAACGGCGGCCGUAACUAUAACGGUCCUAAGGUAGCGAAAUUCCUUGUCGGGUAAGUUCCGACCUGCACGAAUGGCGUAAUGAUGGCCAGGCUGUCUCCACCCGAGACUCAGUGAAAUUGAACUCGCUGUGAAGAUGCAGUGUACCCGCGGCAAGACGGAAAGACCCCGUGAACCUUUACUAUAGCUUGACACUGAACAUUGAGCCUUGAUGUGUAGGAUAGGUGGGAGGCUUUGAAGUGUGGACGCCAGUCUGCAUGGAGCCGACCUUGAAAUACCACCCUUUAAUGUUUGAUGUUCUAACGUUGGCCCGUAAUCCGGGUUGCGGACAGUGUCUGGUGGGUAGUUUGACUGGGGCGGUCUCCUCCUAAAGAGUAACGGAGGAGCACGAAGGUUGGCUAAUCCUGGUCGGACAUCAGGAGGUUAGUGCAAUGGCAUAAGCCAGCUUGACUGCGAGCGUGACGGCGCGAGCAGGUGCGAAAGCAGGUCAUAGUGAUCCGGUGGUUCUGAAUGGAAGGGCCAUCGCUCAACGGAUAAAAGGUACUCCGGGGAUAACAGGCUGAUACCGCCCAAGAGUUCAUAUCGACGGCGGUGUUUGGCACCUCGAUGUCGGCUCAUCACAUCCUGGGGCUGAAGUAGGUCCCAAGGGUAUGGCUGUUCGCCAUUUAAAGUGGUACGCGAGCUGGGUUUAGAACGUCGUGAGACAGUUCGGUCCCUAUCUGCCGUGGGCGCUGGAGAACUGAGGGGGGCUGCUCCUAGUACGAGAGGACCGGAGUGGACGCAUCACUGGUGUUCGGGUUGUCAUGCCAAUGGCACUGCCCGGUAGCUAAAUGCGGAAGAGAUAAGUGCUGAAAGCAUCUAAGCACGAAACUUGCCCCGAGAUGAGUUCUCCCUGACUCCUUGAGAGUCCUGAAGGAACGUUGAAGACGACGACGUUGAUAGGCCGGGUGUGUAAGCGCAGCGAUGCGUUGAGCUAACCGGUACUAAUGAACCGUGAGGUUUAACCUU
This 2902-nucleotide ribosomal RNA is filed under the name Escherichia coli KTE84. RNAcentral's name for it is "bacterial LSU rRNA". It matches the Rfam family "Bacterial large subunit ribosomal RNA". Lineage: Bacteria; Pseudomonadati; Pseudomonadota; Gammaproteobacteria; Enterobacterales; Enterobacteriaceae. The record is from RNAcentral.